GUAAGAAGACAAAUAAAUAACAAAUUAAUUACUAAAGAAAUUUAUGACAUAAAAAGCAAAAAGAAAAAGAGAAAAGAAAAGAAAAGAAAAAAAAAAGAAAAAGGAAAAGAAAAAGAAGAAAUUGAAAGAAACAGAAAACGUGAGUUUUCUGCUCCAUAGCUCCAUCUCAGUUUUGUCUUUCACAAAAACCCACCCAUGAAUUUCUAAAUCAAAAUGGGUUCUUGAACACAAUCAAACCUAUUUGCAAAUAAAAUUCAUUAAUCAAACCAAAUCACCCAUUCUAAAAUCAAAAUGAGUUUCUUGCACACAAUCAAACUCAUCUUCAAAUAUAUAUUCAUACUCAACCCAAAUCACCCAAUAACCCAUUUUUGGUUAUUCAAUUCCAUCAAUUCAUUUGGGCAGAAAUUGAAACUCAACCAUGGCUAUAAAUAGCCAUGUUCAUCUCCUUAAACCAUUCACCCAAACCACUUGAGUCUUCGCCGGAAAACACCACCCAAAACACCCCUCAAAUCCCCUGUUUUUUUUCAAUUCUCUCUCUCCUCUGUUUUCGUGCGACCACCGUAGCACCACCACCCUCCACCGACAACCACCGUCGCUAUAACCACCACCGCCUGCUUCUGUUCGCAACCAACAACCACCGCGGCGCCAACCCAGCCGUAUUCCCUUCUCCGUCGCUCAGCUUCUUCCCCCUCCUCUCGCCCAGUUUACCCCUCUCUCGUGUCUCCCUCCUCGUCACGUCGUUGACCCGCGCGCACCGCAACAGCACCACCGAACCACCGCCGUGCGACCGACACCAGCUUCGUGCUAUUCCCCCUGCUCUGGUUCAACGUCUGCUCAAGUUGGAGCAGAGAUUAAAAAGGAAGAGAUAUUACAAGCUUUCCCCUACGAUCAAGGUUGUUAAGCAGGAUUCCAGGUAUGCAUACGAAGAUGAGAUGACGUAGCAGUGAGGAUUAAAUUACUUUAGUGCGACUAUGAUGGUUAUGUAAUCCAAGUUUAUGAUCACUAGAUUACGUAGCAUCAUCUAUGCUUAAGCUAUUUAUAUAUAUUUCUAGAAUUAAUACCACUAUUAUAGAAGUUUAGUGAUAUGAAAGAAUGUUGCCUUGUACUUUCCUGUGUGGAGAGUACGACAGUGACGCACCGACUAAGCUAGGAAGGUCUUCCGCUGCUAAUCUUUGUAAUUAAUUAACCUAAUAGUGAUGAUUAGAAGUCGGGGUGUUACAGCUA
Beta vulgaris subsp. vulgaris (sugar beet) is the source of this 1224-nucleotide long non-coding RNA. RefSeq lists it as uncharacterized. The record is from RefSeq and is a predicted model, not a curated record. NCBI's taxonomy places the organism in Eukaryota, Viridiplantae, Streptophyta, Magnoliopsida, Caryophyllales, Amaranthaceae. The transcript is spliced from 3 exons.